GCAGUCGUGGCCGAGUGGUUAAGGCGAUGGACUAGAAAUCCAUUUGGGGUCUCCCCGGACAGGCUCGAAUCCUGUCAACUGCG
This 83-nucleotide transfer RNA is filed under the name Ixodes scapularis (black-legged tick). It matches the Rfam family "tRNA". From Rfam's summary of the family: Transfer RNA (tRNA) molecules are approximately 80 nucleotides in length. The record is from Rfam by way of RNAcentral. Lineage: Eukaryota; Metazoa; Arthropoda; Arachnida; Ixodida; Ixodidae.